GACGAACGCUGGCGGCGUGCCUAAUACAUGCAAGUCGAGCGGAAGUUGGAGAGCUUGCUCUUCAACUUUAGCGGCGGACGGGUGAGUAACACGUGGGCAACCUGCCCUGCAGAUCGGGAUAACUCCGGGAAACCGGUGCUAAUACCGAAUAGUUUUCGCCACCUCCUGGUGGCGUACGGAAAGACGGUUUCGGCUGUCACUGCAGGAUGGGCCCGCGGCGCAUUAGCUAGUUGGUGGGGUAACGGCCCACCAAGGCAACGAUGCGUAGCCGGCCUGAGAGGGUGAUCGGCCACACUGGGACUGAGACACGGCCCAGACUCCUACGGGAGGCAGCAGUAGGGAAUCUUCCGCAAUGGACGAAAGUCUGACGGAGCAACGCCGCGUGAGUGACGAAGGUUUUCGGAUCGUAAAACUCUGUUGUGAGGGAAGAACAAGUACCAACUAACUACUGGUACCUUGACGGUACCUCACCAGAAAGCCACGGCUAACUACGUGCCAGCCGCCGCAGUAA
RNAcentral lists this ribosomal RNA (511 nucleotides) under uncultured bacterium. RNAcentral describes it as "partial 16S ribosomal RNA". It matches the Rfam family "Bacterial small subunit ribosomal RNA", at positions 28 to 523 of the family's 1533-position model. The record is from RNAcentral.